CAGUGUAUUCCCACCUAGUGGGGUCUGGGGGGGUUAAGAUGUACGCAGUCCAUACCUCUACCUCUAAAGAAGUAGAAAGACUGUUUCCGAUAGACCCCCGGCUUAAGUCACGAGAUACCACACAAACUCAUAGUAGAGCACAGAACUAAAUUACAUAACAUAAAUACGGCACCCAUAAGUAUUAGAAAACAGAGGAAAGCACACAGAUUCGUAAUAAAACAUGGAACACGGAAUCAUAACAGGAAUAAAACUCCCACCAAGUGAUUCCCUACCCUAGCGACC
RNAcentral lists this long non-coding RNA (282 nucleotides) under Capsicum annuum. RNAcentral describes it as "long non-coding RNA (CANN_LNC011229)". The record is from RNAcentral. Lineage: Eukaryota; Viridiplantae; Streptophyta; Magnoliopsida; Solanales; Solanaceae.